Molecule: ribosomal RNA, 469 nt
Filed under: uncultured bacterium
Lineage: Bacteria
Description: bacterial SSU rRNA
Rfam family: Bacterial small subunit ribosomal RNA
Source: RNAcentral
CGCUAGCGGCAGGCUUAACACAUGCAAGUCGAGGGGUAUGGUUUUCGGACCAAGAGACCGGCGCACGGGUGCGUAACGCGUAUGCAAUCUACCUUUGCAGAGGGAUAGCCCAGAGAAAUUUGGAUUAAUACCUCAUAGUAUAGUACUUUGGCAUCAUUUCACAUUAAAGUCACAACGGCAAAAGAUGAGCAUGCGUCCCAUUAGCUAGUUGGUAAGGUAACGGCUUACCAAGGCUACGAUGGGUAGGGGUCCUGAGAGGGAGAUCCCCCACACUGGUACUGAGACACGGACCAGACUCCUACGGGAGGCAGCAGUGAGGAAUAUUGGACAAUGGGCGCAAGCCUGAUCCAGCCAUGCCGCGUGCAGGAUGACGGUCCUAUGGAUUGUAAACUGCUUUUGUACAGGAAGAAACACUACUUCGUGAAGUAGCUUGACGGUACUGUAAGAAUAAGGAUCGGCUAACUCCGUG